UAGAGUUUGAUCAUGGCUCAGGAUGAACGCUAGCGACAGGCUUAACACAUGCAAGUCGAGGGGCAGCGGGGAGGUAGCAAUACUUCCGCCGGCGACCGGCGCACGGGUGAGUAGCACGUAUGGAACCUGCCCGUAGCAGGGGGAUAAGCGGAAGAAAUUCCGUCUAAUACCGCGUAAUAACUCCGAGAGGCAUCUCAUGGAGUUUAAAGGGUAAUACCGGCUACGGAUGGCCAUGCGGCGCAUUAGCUAGUUGGCGGGGUAACGGCCCACCAAGGCGACGAUGCGUAGGGGUUCUGAGAGGAAGGUCCCCCACACUGGUACUGAGACACGGACCAGACUCCUACGGGAGGCAGCAGUGAGGAAUAUUGGUCAAUGGGCGCGAGCCUGAACCAGCCAAGUCGCGUGAGGGAAGACGGUCCUAUGGAUUGUAAACCUCUUUUGUCGGGGAGCAGAAGGCGCCACGUGUGGCGUUCCGAGAGUACCCGAAGAAAAAGCAUCGGCUAACUCCGUGCCAGCAGCCGCGGUAAUACGGAGGAUGCGAGCGUUAUCCGGAUUUAUUGGGUUUAAAGGGUGCGCAGGCGGAAGAUCAAGUCAGCGGUAAAAUUGAGAGGCUCAACCUCUUCGAGCCGUUGAAACUGGUUUUCUUGAGUGAGCGAGAAGUAUGCGGAAUGCGUGGUGUAGCGGUGAAAUGCAUAGAUAUCACGCAGAACUCCGAUUGCGAAGGCAGCAUACCGGCGCUCAACUGACGCUCAUGCACGAAAGUGUGGGUAUCGAACAGGAUUAGAUACCCUGGUAGUCCACACAGUAAACGAUGAAUACUAAUUGUUCGGGGAGAAUGAUCCCUGAGUGAUACAGCGAAAGCGUUAAGUAUUCCACCUGGGGAGUACGCCGGCAACGGUGAAACUCAAAGGAAUUGACGGGGGC
Molecule: ribosomal RNA, 924 nt
Filed under: uncultured bacterium
Lineage: Bacteria
Description: bacterial SSU rRNA
Rfam family: Bacterial small subunit ribosomal RNA
Source: RNAcentral